GGAUGUAUGCUUAAGGUUUAGGGCUCAAGAAGAUGAUUUGGGAUAGGGAAAAUUUUAGGGUAUGACAAGCCACAUGAAUUUGUUCUUGCUGAGGAUUUUUUGCUUUUGAUCCUCUCUUUUUUGUUUUGUUUUUGCUUUCCCUGACUUUUGUCUGGACUGAUCUUUCGAGUUUGUAGUCCACCGGGAUGCCUUAAUUUUUGCCUAAGUCACUUAUUUUCAAGUUUUCGAGUUAGCAGGAUUUUCUUU
Molecule: long non-coding RNA, 246 nt
Filed under: Lathyrus oleraceus (garden pea)
Lineage: Eukaryota; Viridiplantae; Streptophyta; Magnoliopsida; Fabales; Fabaceae
Description: Pisum sativum (pea) long non-coding RNA (PSAT_LNC014720)
Source: RNAcentral